RNAcentral lists this ribosomal RNA (440 nucleotides) under uncultured bacterium. RNAcentral's name for it is "partial 16S ribosomal RNA". It matches the Rfam family "Bacterial small subunit ribosomal RNA", at positions 338 to 795 of the family's 1533-position model. The record is from RNAcentral.
CCUACGUGAGGCAGCAGUAGGGAAUUUUGCGCAAUGGGCGAAAGCCUGACGCAGCAACACCGCGUGAAUGUUAAGCCCUUCGGGGUGUAAAGUUCUGUCAAUAGGGACGAAUUUUGACUGUACCUAUAAAGGAAGCACCGGCUAACUCCGUGCCAGCAGCCGCGGUAAUACGGGGGGUGCAAGCGUUGUACGGCAUCAUUGGGCGUAAAGCGUUCGUAGGCGGCAAUGUAAGUCUGAUGUUAAAGCCCGGGGGUGAACUCCGGUUCGGCAUUGGAUACUAUCUAGCAAGACGGUGGUAGAGGUAAAGGGAAGUCCUGGGGUAGCGGUGAAAGGCGUAGAUAUCAGGAGGAACAUCGGUGGCGAAGGCGCUUUACUGGACCAUUAUUGACGCUGAGGAACGAAAGCCAGGGGAGCAAAUGGGAUUAGAUAGCCGUGUAGUC